GCCCCGUUAGCUCAGCUGGUAGAGCACGUCCUUGGUAAGGACGAGGUCCCGGGUUCAAAUCUCGGACGGGGCU
Molecule: transfer RNA, 73 nt
Filed under: Nanohaloarchaea archaeon SG9
Lineage: Archaea; Methanobacteriati; Methanobacteriota; Candidatus Nanohaloarchaea
Also listed under: 1 other name
Description: tRNA-Thr
Rfam family: tRNA
About the family: Transfer RNA (tRNA) molecules are approximately 80 nucleotides in length. Their secondary structure includes four short double-helical elements and three loops (D, anti-codon, and T loops).
Source: RNAcentral